UCCGAUGUAGCUCAACAGGUUGAGCAGGCCCCUGUUAAGGGCAAGGUUCCUGGUUCGAGUCCAGGCAUCGGAGC
This 74-nucleotide transfer RNA is filed under the name Rhizocola hellebori. RNAcentral's name for it is "tRNA-Asn". It matches the Rfam family "tRNA". Rfam says of the family: Transfer RNA (tRNA) molecules are approximately 80 nucleotides in length. Their secondary structure includes four short double-helical elements and three loops (D, anti-codon, and T loops). Lineage: Bacteria; Bacillati; Actinomycetota; Actinomycetes; Micromonosporales; Micromonosporaceae. The record is from RNAcentral.